AUUCAAUUAGUUUAAAAUAAAACGUUAAAUUGUGGAUUUAAAAAUAUAAUUAUAUAUUGAAUC
This 63-nucleotide transfer RNA is filed under the name Aleeta curvicosta. RNAcentral describes it as "tRNA-His". The record is from RNAcentral. Lineage: Eukaryota; Metazoa; Arthropoda; Insecta; Hemiptera; Cicadidae.